UGCAGUCGAACGGCAGCACGGGAGCAAUCCUGGUGGCGAGUGGCGAACGGGUGAGUAAUGUAUCGGAACGUGCCCAGUCGUGGGGGAUAACGCAGCGAAAGCUGUGCUAAUACCGCAUACGAUCUAUGGAUGAAAGCGGGGGAUCGCAAGACCUCGCUCGCUUGGAGCGGCCGAUAUCAGAUUAGGUAGUUGGUGAGGUAAAGGCUCACCAAGCCGACGAUCUGUAGCUGGUCUGAGAGGACGACCAGCCACACUGGGACUGAGACACGGCCCAGACUCCUACGGGAGGCAGCAGUGGGGAAUUUUGGACAAUGGGCGCAAGCCUGAUCCAGCAAUGCCGCGUGCAGGACGAAGGCCUUCGGGUUGUAAACUGCUUUUGUACGGAGCGAAAAGGCUCUCUCUAAUACAGGGGGCUCAUGACGGUACCGUAAGAAUAAGCACCGGCUAACUACGUGCCAGCAGCCGCGGUAAUACGUAGGGUGCAAGCGUUAAUCGGAAUUACUGGGCGUAAAGCGUGCGCAGGCGGUUAUGUAAGACAGAGGUGAAAUCCCCGGGCUCAACCUGGGAACUGCCUUUGUGACUGCAUAGCUAGAGUACGGCAGAGGGGGAUGGAAUUCCGCGUGUAGCAGUGAAAUGCGUAGAUAUGCGGA
RNAcentral lists this ribosomal RNA (650 nucleotides) under uncultured bacterium. Its description in RNAcentral is "bacterial SSU rRNA". It matches the Rfam family "Bacterial small subunit ribosomal RNA", at positions 56 to 702 of the family's 1533-position model. The record is from RNAcentral.